ACGAUCAGUAGCUGGUCUGAGAGGACGAUCAGCCACACUGGGACUGAGACACGGCCCAGACUCCUACGGGAGGCAGCAGUGGGGGAAUUUUUGGACAAUGGGCGAAAGCCUGAUCCAGCAAUGCCGCGUGUGUGAAGAAGGCCUUCGGGUUGUAAAGUACUUUCAGCGGGGAGGAAGGGAGUAAAGUUAAUACCUUUGCUCAUUGACGUUACCCGCAGAAGAAGCACCGGCUAACUCCGUGCCAGCAGCCGCGGUAAUACGGAGGGUGUCUAAGUCGUU
This 279-nucleotide ribosomal RNA is filed under the name uncultured Pseudomonadota bacterium. RNAcentral describes it as "uncultured proteobacterium partial 16S ribosomal RNA". It matches the Rfam family "Bacterial small subunit ribosomal RNA", at positions 276 to 535 of the family's 1533-position model. Lineage: Bacteria; Pseudomonadati; Pseudomonadota. The record is from RNAcentral.